RNAcentral lists this unclassified non-coding RNA (303 nucleotides) under Hevea brasiliensis (rubber tree). The record is from RNAcentral. Lineage: Eukaryota; Viridiplantae; Streptophyta; Magnoliopsida; Malpighiales; Euphorbiaceae.
GGGCAGCAACACUAUUUUGGCACUCUCUUUUAAUAUCUCGCUUUUAUACUACCAGAAAACAGAAUAGUGACAUUUAAUGGUAAACUUCAAAAUGUACAUUCCAAAAUGCCAAGAAAAAGGAUAACAUUUUUCUCAAGUGAGCAACAAAACUAUUGCUUUUGAAAGCAAGACUUUCACCUUUUCUCAAUGAUGGAGGCAGGGAGGUUGCCAAUCAAGAAAUUCUUGAUUUAAAGUUUGAAUCAAGAUAACACCCAAUGCAACAAAAGGUUGUAGAAAGCAAAACAUACUAACCAUGAAAACAAC